Brachypodium distachyon (stiff brome) is the source of this 136-nucleotide non-coding RNA. Lineage: Eukaryota; Viridiplantae; Streptophyta; Magnoliopsida; Poales; Poaceae. The record is from Rfam.
CAAAUACUUUCUCCGUCCAACAAAAAAUGUCUCAACUUAGAUCAAAUUUGAAUGCAUUUAUUCACUAAGUCAUGUCUAGAUACAUCUAAAUUUUGAUAAAUUUGAGACAUCUUUUGUUGGACGGAUGGAGUAUCUG